This is a long non-coding RNA of Girardinichthys multiradiatus, 2658 nucleotides long. RefSeq lists it as uncharacterized. The record is from RefSeq and is a predicted model, not a curated record. The transcript is spliced from 2 exons. NCBI's taxonomy places the organism in Eukaryota, Metazoa, Chordata, Actinopteri, Cyprinodontiformes, Goodeidae.
UUUUGAAUAUUUAGCAACUUUAGCUAUUUUAAUUUCACAGGAUAAUGUGUCAAAUCUAAUAAAUCAGCAAUUAUCCUUUAAACAAAAAAUUUUAAACUGUUUCAUUAACCUUUAAUAGAGUUAUGAAAUGAAUUUGAGUUUUUAUCUUUUCUUAGUUAAUAUAUAAACAUGUACUUGGUAUUGUAACCAUGGCAAACCCUUAAGCUAAGAAAGGGCAAGUGAGACUGCAGUAAUUUCCUCUAAAUCAGCAGUUCUCAAACUAUUGGGAGUUGGGGGCGAACAUUUUUUCCAUGGACCCCAUUUAUAAUCCACACGCUGAUAACUCUCCCAUUAUUUUAAUUAUUAUUAAUUUGAAAUUAUCUUUUGUACUCCUAGGUAGUGUAGAUUGUUUUACCUUUUAAACCCUAAAAAUGUUUUUGAAGACCUCUAAAAAAAAUAUCCAAGUUAUGGUUUGUAACUAACUACAUUAUUCAUUUUUAGGUAACAAAAUUCAAAGCCAGAACUCAUGACAGGCUUAGACUGUUAUUUAUUCAUUUAUUUUUUAUUCAGGCAAAAGUGGCCGUUAUUUUUUUGUUAUUUGAAAGUAGGCAGACAGGAAGUGGAACAAAGAGAGAGGGAAGAUAUGCUUCUAAUGUGUCUUCUUAUUUCUUGCAUGGACAAUAAUUAUAUUUAGGGGUUACAGUCACUAGUUCACAGCCCUGACUUAAUCCCAUCAUCAUAUUUGCUUUCAGCCCAGAGUUCAUAGAGAACUUCAGACAACAUCAGUCAUUUUCUACCGCUUCUUCCAUAGUGGGUUGCGGGGAAGCUGGUGCCUAUCUCCAGCAGUUUAUGGGUGGGAAGCGGGGUACACCCUGGACAGGUUGCCAAUCCAUCGCAGGGCAAUACAGACACAUACAGGACAAACAACCAAGCGACUCUGGGAGGAAGCCGGAGUACUUGGAGAGAGUACUUCAGACAACAUACACAGUGACCUGAAACAGAUCUGUUUCAGAUGAAAAGAAAAACAUGUUUCAGAUUUGGUACUGUGGUGGGUAAUAGCUCCACAGUUAAGGAAGAAGGCCUGUUCUUUGCAGAGUCUUUUAGAGAACAUGAGUUGAGGUUUUGUGGUACCACUGUCCAAUCUGACUCUUUUUGACAUUCUGAAAUAAAAUAACCCAAAUCUUUCCAUUGAAUGUUGUGGAGGUGCUGGAAAUUCACCUGCCUUAAUAACAGAAGAGGUUGCUCCUGAGUCUAAAUAAAUGAUAUUCUUUGAUCUGAAACUGUCAGAUCAAACAUUGAAAAUUAUUUAAUUUUAAUAAUAAUUUACUCAAGUCAUCACAGUCGUCACAACGCAGAUCUUCCUUGCAUGAAAUAAAGGAAGUAGAGAGGGAGGGUUGAUCAUUUGUGUGUGCAUGAAGUAGGAGGGAUAGAGAGAGAUUUGGGUGGAUGUCUGUGUUGAGGGGGUGUGGUGUGGUGCAGUACUGCUCUGACUAGCUGUCUGGUGGUGUGGCCCGUCCCCCUUGCCUUGGUUAGUCAAUAAGCUUUUGAAGGCGGAGCAAUGGCUGGAUUGGGGCAGCUGACUCUCCAUUGUCCCCAGUGGCCUCAACUAAAGCAGAUAUCAGGAUUAUAGAGGAAUCUGCUCCUAUUACAUCCACGCCCUCUCCAAUGUCUCCACCUGCUUCGUCCUCUCCCUGUCCCUCCCUGUGCAGCGUGCUGGUAUGUUGCAAUCACAGCAAGGAGCAGUUCUAUUUCAGAUUUGUCCUUUUUAGUUUUCCGUGAUCAUUGGGGAGGCGAGGUUGCUCAGCCCAACCUAUGUAAGCAAAUUUGAAAGGCAGUGCUACAUGUGGAAGCAGUCCUUUUAUGAUGGCAUUUCAAACUAGAGUUUCCAAUACUCCAGAUUCCUGGCCCAAAUCAGUGGACUAUGGUGUGACACCGUACUUGGCCACUUUUUCAAUAACUCCUUCAGUGAACUCAUCUAUGGUCUUAUCAGGCUUCUGCUUGCAGGUAAUCUCCAGAGUAUGCACUUCCAUCCUCUCCAGAGAUUACUAUCAGAACAGCCAUCUUCAUCACCGCCAGAACCCCCUGGAAUAUAAUUCCCCCCAUAUAAUUCAAGAGGACGUCAAAGAUGACCUGCCUCUGCAACCUCCUCUACUUCCUGUGUUUGUCUCUGGAGUCGUCAUCAUCUCCACCAUCUAUUAUUGAAUCUUUAGAAUCCCGGCACCUCCUGGAGUCCUCAGAGACCCAACAUCUCUUCAACACUCUCCUGCAGCCUUUAGAGCUCUAACUCCCUCUAAGUCUCCAGCGUCCAGGAAUUUUCUUGAGUCUCCAGAAUGGGGUGGGGACAACCCAUCUCUCAAAGCUCUUGCGUUUCCUGAGGAUGUCAAGGAUGACCCGCCUCAUCCACUGACUGUUGCUGAGUUCUCAAAAGUGGUUGAGAAUAAUCAUCCUCUCCUACUUCCUAUGCUAUUAUGGCCUCCUAACCUCUAUCAUUGGAUUUAAUGACCUUCAGAGAAUCCAGAGCUCUCCUGAAUAUUUUUUUCUUUCAGUCUCUCCUACAGAGGCCCCUUUCUUCAGGUUAGUUACAGGUGGUCUGUUUUUUGACGCUGGGGAGGGUGCUGCUAUUGUCUUGAUUCUCCUUUUGUUGUCGCAACUACUUUCUAAAACUACACUUUCACAUGA